GAUAAGGUUAAGUGAAUAAGGGCGCACGGUGGAUGCCUUGGCACUAGGAGCCGAUGAAGGACGGGACUAACACCGAUAUGCUUUGGGGAGCUGUACGUAAGCUAUGAUCCAGAGAUUUCCGAAUGGGGGAACCCAACAUCUUUAAUAGGAUGUUACGAUUGUGUGAAUACAUAGCACAUCCGAGGUAGACGCAGAGAACU
This 200-nucleotide ribosomal RNA is filed under the name Enterococcus faecium. RNAcentral's name for it is "partial 23S ribosomal RNA". It matches the Rfam family "Bacterial large subunit ribosomal RNA", at positions 1 to 194 of the family's 2925-position model. Lineage: Bacteria; Bacillati; Bacillota; Bacilli; Lactobacillales; Enterococcaceae. The record is from RNAcentral.